Molecule: small RNA, 17 nt
Filed under: Arabidopsis thaliana (thale cress)
Lineage: Eukaryota; Viridiplantae; Streptophyta; Magnoliopsida; Brassicales; Brassicaceae
Description: ATSL135770
Source: RNAcentral
AGAGGACAAACUUAUUU